UUAUUAACCCCCUUGUAACAGAAUUAAGAGCUACUCAAAGGAGGUACAGCUCCUUUGACAGAGAGUACAACCUCCCCUAGCGGAUAACCACCACCUUUUUUCCCUGUGGGCCUUAAAGCAGCCACCAACAAAGAGUGCGUCAAAGCUCAUAACCCUAAAAAUCCAGAAAUACAUGCGACUCCCUUACCCACAGCAGACCAACCUAUAACAAUAGAAGAAUUAAUGCUAAAAUGAGUAACCUGAGACCCUCCCUCCAAAAGCGUAAACUUACAUUAAUACAUUAUUAACAGANCACCUAUACCCCCACCUUGACAAGAACUCGUUAUAUCCCUUCCCUGUUNAGNNNACUCAGGAGCGCCCAAUGGAUGAUUAAACCUGNUAAAAGGAAUCGGCAAACCCU
This 400-nucleotide ribosomal RNA is filed under the name Ortalis vetula (plain chachalaca). Its description in RNAcentral is "partial large subunit ribosomal RNA". The record is from RNAcentral. Lineage: Eukaryota; Metazoa; Chordata; Aves; Galliformes; Cracidae.